CCUACGGGAGGCAGCAGUGGGGAAUAUUGCGCAAUGGGCGAAAGCCUGACGCAGCGACGCCGCGUGAGGGAUGAAGGUCUUCGGAUCGUAAACCUCUGUCAGCAGGGAAGAACGGUCACUGUGCUAAUCAGCAGUGAAUUGACGGUACCUGCAAAGGAAGCACCGGCUAACUCCGUGCCAGCAGCCGCGGUAAUACGGAGGGUGCGAGCGUUAAUCGGAAUUACUGGGCGGAAAGCGCUCGUAGGCGGUAUGUCAAGUCAAGGGUGAAAUCCCCGCGCUCAACGUGGGAAUUGCCUUUGAAACUGGCAAGCUAGAGUGUGUGAGAGGAAAGUGGAAUUCCAGGUGUAGGAGUGAAAUCCGUAGAUAUCUGGAGGAACAUCAGUGGCGAAGGCGACUGUCUGGCACAUAACUGACGCUGAGGAGCGAAAGCGUGGGUAGCAAACAGGAUUAGAUACCCGGGUAGUC
This 465-nucleotide ribosomal RNA is filed under the name uncultured bacterium. RNAcentral's name for it is "partial 16S ribosomal RNA". It matches the Rfam family "Bacterial small subunit ribosomal RNA", at positions 338 to 795 of the family's 1533-position model. The record is from RNAcentral.